Long non-coding RNA from Peromyscus eremicus (cactus mouse), 726 nucleotides. RefSeq lists it as uncharacterized. The transcript has 3 exons. The record is from RefSeq and is a predicted model, not a curated record. Lineage: Eukaryota; Metazoa; Chordata; Mammalia; Rodentia; Cricetidae.
CAAAGAAGAGAAGGAGACAGAGUUCAAGGGUCAUUGAAGUCUCUGGGGAGAAGGUUGUGUUGGUUUGAAAAGAAUGAUAAUGGCAACAGAAAGUGAUUGGCAGAAUUCCUUCAAUAGCUUCAGAGAAGGAAAUAAUCUUGGGUGUGGCUACAGAGAACCCCAGACUUAGAGGGCUUGGGUUUAGCAAGAGGAAUAUCAAAGAAGGCAUUUUGAGAAGAUGGCACUGUCAGUAAAAGAUUUGAGUUUAGAUCCCUAGCUCCCAUAUAAAGUCUGGGUGUGAUGGCGUCAUAUCUGCAAGCCCAGAACUUCCGAGAUGGAGACAGGUGGAUCCCAGGAGCUAACUGCCGAGCCCAUUUAGAUGAAUCAGUAAACUUGGGUUCAGAGACGGUAUCUCAAAAAAUAAAGUGGAGAGUGACCAAGGAAGAUACUGAUAUUGAAUGCUUGCAUCUAUGCCAGAACAUAGACAAGCAUGUACACCUGCAUGCAAGUGCACACACACAAGAACACUUUCACAUACUUACAGAGUGUAACGUUCAUGCUCACCAUUCAUAGCUUCUUCUCCCUGCUGGACAUAAAGCAGAGCAAAGGGAGAGACAGUGGGAGCAGAAAAAUGCCCUGAACAAUCCAGAGAGGACUGAUGAUAUUAAAUCCAGUUAUGACUUCAGAACAAAGCAAUGAGAAUCAUCUUAGAAGCAGAUACAUUAGCAAUGAUGAGGGGAUGUGGGG